Molecule: ribosomal RNA, 253 nt
Filed under: uncultured bacterium
Lineage: Bacteria
Description: partial 16S ribosomal RNA
Rfam family: Bacterial small subunit ribosomal RNA
Source: RNAcentral
UACAGAGACUGCAAGCGUUGUUCGGAUUCAUUGGGCGUAAAGGGUGCGCAGGCGGUGCGUUAAGUCGGAUGUGAAAUCUCACAGCCUAACUGCGAUAGGUCAUUCGAAACUGGCGUGCUUGAGGACUGGAGAGGAGACUGGAAUGGUCGGUGUAGCGGUGAAAUGCGUAGAGAUCGUCAAGAAGACCGGUGGCGAAGGCGGGUCUCUGGACAGUUCCUGACGCUGAGGCACGAAAGCCAGGGGAGCAAACGGG